AAGGGGAGCAAUCCCUGAGUACAGUGGCGACCGGGUGAGUAACACGUGACUACCUACCCUUGAGUGGGGGAUAACCUCGGGAAACCGAGGCUAAUACCGCAUAAUAUCGAGAGAUCAAAGGAGCAAUCCGCUCUUGGAGGGGGUCGCGGCUGAUUAGCUAGUUGGUGAGGUAAUGGCUCACCAAGGCGAAGAUCGGUAUCCGGCCUGAGAGGGCGCACGGACACACUGGAACUGAAACACGGUCCAGACUCCUACGGGAGGCAGCAGUGGGGAAUUUUGCGCAAUGGGGGAAACCCUGACGCAGCAACGCCGCGUGGAGGAUGAAGCUCCUUGGA
Molecule: ribosomal RNA, 335 nt
Filed under: uncultured bacterium
Lineage: Bacteria
Description: bacterial SSU rRNA
Rfam family: Bacterial small subunit ribosomal RNA
Source: RNAcentral